GCGCGUAAAUUGCCCGAAUCCUGACACAGGGAGGUAGUGACAAGAAAUAACAAUACAGGGCUACAUCUAGUCUUGUAAUUGGAAUGAGUACAAUUUACAUCUCUUCACGAUGAUCAAUUGGAGGGCAAGUCUGGUGCCAGCAGCCGCGGUAAUUCCAGCUCCAAUAGCGUAUAUUAAAGUUGUUGCAGUUAGAACGCUCGUAGUCGGAUUUCGGGGCGGGCCGACCGGUCUGCCGAUGGGUACGCACUGGUCGGCGCGUCCUUCCUUCCGGAGACCGUGCCUACUCUUAACUGAGCGGGGGCGGGAGACGGAUCGUUUACUUUGAAAAAAUCAGAGUGUUUCAAGCAGGCAGCUCGCUCUUGCAUGGAUUAGCAUGGGAUAAUGAAAUAGGACUUUGGUGCUAUUUUGUUGGUUUCGAACACCGAAGUAAUGAUUAACAGGGACAGUCAGGGGCACUCGUAUUCC
Molecule: ribosomal RNA, 465 nt
Filed under: Haptophyta environmental samples
Lineage: Eukaryota; Haptophyta
Description: SSU rRNA
Rfam family: Eukaryotic small subunit ribosomal RNA
Source: RNAcentral